RNAcentral lists this ribosomal RNA (497 nucleotides) under uncultured bacterium. Its description in RNAcentral is "partial 16S ribosomal RNA". It matches the Rfam family "Bacterial small subunit ribosomal RNA", at positions 28 to 507 of the family's 1533-position model. The record is from RNAcentral.
GAUGAACGCUGGCGGCGUGCCUAAUACAUGCAAGUCGAGCGAACAGACGAGGAGCUCGCUCCUCUGACGUUAGCGGCGGACGGGUGAGUAACACGUGGAUAACCUACCUAUAAGACUGGGAUAACUUCGGGAAACCGGAGCUAAUACCGGAUAAUAUAUUGAACCGCAUGGUUCAAUAGUGAAACACGGUUUUGCUGUCACUUAUAGAUGGAUCCGCGCCGCAUUAGCUAGUUGGUAAGGUAACGGCUUACCAAGGCGACGAUGCGUAGCCGACCUGAGAGGGUGAUCGGCCACACUGGAACUGAGACACGGUCCAGACUCCUACGGGAGGCAGCAGUAGGGAAUCUUCCGCAAUGGGCGAAAGCCUGACGGAGCAACGCCGCGUGAGUGAUGAAGGUCUUCGGAUCGUAAAACUCUGUUAGUAGGGAAGAACAAAUGUGUAAGUAACUAUGCACGUCUUGACGGUACCUAAUCAGAAAGCCACGGCUAACUACGUG